GCAAAGUCGAGCGGACAGAUGGGAGCUUGCUCCCUGAUGUUAGCGGCGGACGGGUGAGUAACACGUGGGUAACCUGCCUGUAAGACUGGGAUAACUCCGGGAAACCGGGGCUAAUACCGGAUGGUUGUUUGAACCGCAUGGUUCAGACAUAAAAGGUGGCUUCGGCUACCACUUACAGAUGGACCCGCGGCGCAUUAGCUAGUUGGUGAGGUAACGGCUCACCAAGGCGACGAUGCGUAGCCGACCUGAGAGGGUGAUCGGCCACACUGGGACUGAGACACGGCCCAGACUCCUACGGGAGGCAGCAGUAGGGAAUCUUCCGCAAUGGACGAAAGUCUGACGGAGCAACGCCGCGUGAGUGAUGAAGGUUUUCGGAUCGUAAAGCUCUGUUGUUAGGGAAGAACAAGUGCCGUUCAAAUAGGGCGGCACCUUGACGGUACCUAACCAGAAAGCCACGGCUAACUACGUGCCAGCAGCCGCGGUAAUACGUAGGUGGCAAGCGUUGUCCGGAAUUAUUGGGCGUAAAGGGCUCGCAGGCGGUUUCUUAAG
RNAcentral lists this ribosomal RNA (549 nucleotides) under Bacillus sp. (in: firmicutes). RNAcentral's name for it is "bacterial SSU rRNA". It matches the Rfam family "Bacterial small subunit ribosomal RNA", at positions 57 to 587 of the family's 1533-position model. Lineage: Bacteria; Bacillati; Bacillota; Bacilli; Caryophanales; Bacillaceae. The record is from RNAcentral.